UAAUCGAAAAGGCAAACUAGUUGAAAAGCUGGGACGCAAAGUCAACAGAUCUAAGGUGGCAUCACUAAGAUGGCUGGACUGCCGAG
RNAcentral lists this non-coding RNA (86 nucleotides) under Jeotgalibacillus soli. RNAcentral describes it as "c-di-GMP sequence". It matches the Rfam family "c-di-GMP-I riboswitch aptamer". From Rfam's summary of the family: GEMM was predicted in a large-scale screen for bacterial structured RNA regulatory elements. Genes associated with GEMM are involved in a diverse array of functions, including chemotaxis regulation, signal transduction, secretion and chitin. Lineage: Bacteria; Bacillati; Bacillota; Bacilli; Caryophanales; Caryophanaceae. The record is from Rfam by way of RNAcentral.